Molecule: ribosomal RNA, 418 nt
Filed under: Adelphocoris suturalis
Lineage: Eukaryota; Metazoa; Arthropoda; Insecta; Hemiptera; Miridae
Also listed under: 1 other name
Description: partial 16S ribosomal RNA
Rfam family: Archaeal large subunit ribosomal RNA (bases 292-418)
Source: RNAcentral
GUCUUUUAAUUGAAGACUGGUAUGAAUGGUUGGAUGAGAAAUAUACUUUCUUUAUUUUAUAUAAAAAAAUUGAUUUUUUAGUUAAAAAGCUAAAAUAUUUUUAUAGGACGAGAAGACCCUAUAGAACUUUACUUUGAUAUAAAUAUACUAUUUAUAUAUUUUUAAAAUUUUAUAUUUUUAUUAAAGUUUUGUUGGGGUGACAAAAAAAAUUAUAUAACUUUUUUUUAUUAAAUCAUUAAUUUAUGUUUUUUUGAUCCUUUAUUAUGGAAAAUAAGAUUAAGUUACCUUAGGGAUAACAGCGUUAUUUUUUUGGAGAGUUCAUAUUGAUAAAGAAGUUUGCGACCUCGAUGUUGGAUUAAAAUAAGUUACAGGGGUAUAAUAUUGUAUACUAGGUCUGUUCGACCUUUAAAUUUUUACA